Non-coding RNA from Streptomyces sp. NRRL WC-3618, 78 nucleotides. NCBI's taxonomy places the organism in Bacteria, Bacillati, Actinomycetota, Actinomycetes, Kitasatosporales, Streptomycetaceae. The record is from Rfam.
UUGAGCCGGUUGCCUGGAAAUCGGGCACGGCCGGUUCUGAGGGGGGACCGCUGCAGCAAUGCAGCGGUCUUACCCGAC